This 252-nucleotide ribosomal RNA is filed under the name uncultured Lachnospiraceae bacterium. Its description in RNAcentral is "partial 16S ribosomal RNA". It matches the Rfam family "Bacterial small subunit ribosomal RNA", at positions 524 to 776 of the family's 1533-position model. The record is from RNAcentral. Lineage: Bacteria; Bacillati; Bacillota; Clostridia; Lachnospirales; Lachnospiraceae.
UACGUAGGGGGCAAGCGUUAUCCGGAUUUACUGGGUGUAAAGGGAGCGUAGACGGUGAUGCAAGUCAGAAGUGAAAGCCCGGGGCUCAACCCCGGCCCGCCGUUGAAACUGGCAGUCUCGAGUUGGAGAGAAGUAUGCGGAAUGCGCGGUGUAGCGGUGAAAUGCGUAGAUAUUAGGAGGAACACCAGUGGCGAAGGCGGCUUACUGGACAGUAACUGACGUUGAGGCUCGAAAGCGUGGGGAGCAAACAGG